CACGUGCUACAAUGGCAUAUACAAUGAGACGCAAUACCGCGAGGUGGAGCAAAUCUAUAAAAUAUGUCCCAGUUCGGACUGUUCUCUGCAACUCGAGAGCAUGAAGCCA
This 109-nucleotide ribosomal RNA is filed under the name uncultured Campylobacter sp. Its description in RNAcentral is "partial 16S ribosomal RNA". It matches the Rfam family "Bacterial small subunit ribosomal RNA", at positions 1219 to 1327 of the family's 1533-position model. Lineage: Bacteria; Pseudomonadati; Campylobacterota; Epsilonproteobacteria; Campylobacterales; Campylobacteraceae. The record is from RNAcentral.